RNAcentral lists this unclassified non-coding RNA (264 nucleotides) under Hevea brasiliensis (rubber tree). Lineage: Eukaryota; Viridiplantae; Streptophyta; Magnoliopsida; Malpighiales; Euphorbiaceae. The record is from RNAcentral.
GAUAGAAGCUUAUGACAAGGAUCGUAAGAAGGGGGCUGGGGCACUUUUAACUGCCGCAGAGACAUGCAAUCCUUCUGCCGAUUCUGCUCUUGGGCAAACACUGAUCUCCAUUGCUGGGACUGAGGAAGAAAUGGUCCCAAGAAGACUGAAGACUGAUCAAGACGAGGACCCUGUUGAGGAGGCCCCAGUUACUGGUGAAAAGAAGAAAGUAAAGAAGAAGAAGAAAACUAGUGAGGAGACGGCUUUAAUAACUAAUGGAAAUGA